RNAcentral lists this ribosomal RNA (253 nucleotides) under uncultured bacterium. RNAcentral describes it as "partial 16S ribosomal RNA". It matches the Rfam family "Bacterial small subunit ribosomal RNA", at positions 524 to 776 of the family's 1533-position model. The record is from RNAcentral.
GACAGAGGGUGCAAACGUUGUUCGGAAUUACUGGGCGUAAAGCGCGUGUAGGCGGCUAUGCAAGUCGGGCGUGAAAUCCCUCGGCUCAACCGAGGAAGUGCACUCGAAACUGCGUAGCUAGAGUCUCGGAGAGGAAGGUGGAAUACUUGGUGUAGAGGUGAAAUUCGUAGAUAUCAAGUGGAACACCGGUGGCGAAGGCGGCAUCCUGGACCAUUACUGACGCUGAGGCGCGAAAGCUAGGGGAGCAAACGGG